Limulus polyphemus (Atlantic horseshoe crab) is the source of this 410-nucleotide long non-coding RNA. RefSeq lists it as uncharacterized. NCBI's taxonomy places the organism in Eukaryota, Metazoa, Arthropoda, Merostomata, Xiphosura, Limulidae. The transcript has 3 exons. The record is from RefSeq and is a predicted model, not a curated record.
UACCUUCUUAUUUUGUUCGUACUUGUUCCGUUCUUCUCGUUGAUACUGAACUGUAAAGACAGGCUUUGGUCCACGUAAUUCACGUAGCUCUGAGCAAAUUCGCUCAUGAAUACUAAACCAGUCUUCUUUCUGAUGAUCCUCGUUACUGAUGGGCGAAAAUUGUAACACAUUAGCUAAAGAAAUUUUCUUCAUCUUCGUGACCCGAGGGGUGCACCUGGCCCGCCAAAUACUAAACAAAAAUAAAUAAAAGAUAUACGAAGUAGAAGCAAAACUUGAAAUUGAACCAUAAUCCAUUUAACUCCUAUAAACGAUAUGAGAAAGAGCAAUACAUACAAGAGAAAUUGCAAGUAAGUGAAAUUGUUGUACUAGCAUUUACUUUGAAUUUAGCUAACAGAAAAGCAGGAAUAAAG